Molecule: long non-coding RNA, 397 nt
Organism: Misgurnus anguillicaudatus (oriental weatherfish)
Lineage: Eukaryota; Metazoa; Chordata; Actinopteri; Cypriniformes; Cobitidae
Source: RefSeq, a predicted model, not a curated record
GACCACAGUGGGUUCAGAAAAUCCAAGGACUUUCUUCACUGUGCGCUCCACCCAUGGCCUCAGCUCAUCUACCUCACGCUUGGGCAGAGACAUGUUGGGGGAAAAUCUAUUAAACAGACAACAAGAAACACCUCUUUGCAGUGUUGCAGAAUGUGUGCAGAGCUUGCGUGAGUACUAAUGGAGCUCACUGAAUGAACACAGCGGGAGAGAGAGAGAGACACAGGCGACAGUCGGGCAGGACGAGUGAGUAAGCACAUCAUCUGCUCCGCCCUACUCCAACGCUUUCUCUUCCAGACAAGAACAUAAUCCCUUUACUUCCAUUCAUUGCUAUGAUUAAAAUACACAUGCACAGUUAUAUUUUUACAUUUCUCAAAUAAAAAAAGGAAGCAAUUAAGAA